UUUGGGGCCUACCUAGCAGGCUAACAGACUACAAGAUUGUAAAUUAUAAAUGAAGAAUAAGGAAGAAGCCAAGAAAUCUUUUCAUCCAGGUGAAGCUUUCCUUUCGCCUCCCUCCUCCAUCUCCACCUUGCCCACCACCACCCACUUCAGUCUGUCAUUUCUGAGAGUAUGACAAAAACAACAGCUAAGGAUUACAGAAAUAGCUUCAACUAAAAUGGCCAGCAGAGGAGGAAUAAGGUGUACCCUAACAAGUGCAGAGAAAGGAGGCUCUCAGUUUCCUUCAGUCUCAGCUCACUGAUUGACUCACCAUCACAGCUCCUGCUGAGAAAAGCUGUGACAACUGAGAGGGCGGAGGAGAGAGAAGAAGUAGAGAGCAAAGGGGAGGGGAGAGAAGAAGAAGAGAAAUGAAGGAAAAGGAUGAGAGAGAAAGAG
Sarcophilus harrisii (Tasmanian devil) is the source of this 432-nucleotide long non-coding RNA. RefSeq lists it as uncharacterized. The transcript has 3 exons. NCBI's taxonomy places the organism in Eukaryota, Metazoa, Chordata, Mammalia, Dasyuromorphia, Dasyuridae. The record is from RefSeq and is a predicted model, not a curated record.